GUGUCAGCCGCCGCGGUAAGACGAGGGAUCCUAGCGUUGUUCGGAAUCAUUGGGCGUAAAGCGGGUGUAGGUGGCUUUGUAAGUCAGGUGUGAAAGCCUAGGGCUCAACCCUAGAAGUGCAUUUGAUACUGCGAAGCUUGAGUGCCGGAGAGGUUAUUAGAAUUCCAGGUGUAGUGGUGAAAUACGUAGAUAUCUGGAGGAAUACCGGAGGCGAAGGCGGAUAACUGGCCGGACACUGACACUCAGACCCGAAAGCGUGGGGAUCAAACAGGAUUAGAAACCCCCGUAGUCC
RNAcentral lists this ribosomal RNA (292 nucleotides) under uncultured bacterium. Its description in RNAcentral is "partial 16S ribosomal RNA". It matches the Rfam family "Bacterial small subunit ribosomal RNA", at positions 505 to 796 of the family's 1533-position model. The record is from RNAcentral.